RNAcentral lists this ribosomal RNA (467 nucleotides) under uncultured bacterium. RNAcentral describes it as "partial 16S ribosomal RNA". It matches the Rfam family "Bacterial small subunit ribosomal RNA", at positions 28 to 507 of the family's 1533-position model. The record is from RNAcentral.
GAUGAACGCUGGCGGCGCGCCUAACACAUGCAAGUCGAACGAUUAAAGCACCUCCGGGUGUGUAUAAAGUGGCGAACGGCUGAGUAACACGUGGGCAACCUGCCCCUUUCAUUGGGAUAGCCACGGGAAACCGUGGAUAAUACCGAAUACUUCGAGACUUCCGCAUGGAAGACUCGAGAAAGCUCCGGCGGAGAGGGAUGGGCCCGCGGCCUGUUAGCUUGUUGGUGGGGUAACGGCCUACCAAGGCAAUGAUGGGUAGCUGGGUUGAGAGACCGACCAGCCAGAUUGGGACUGAGACACGGCCCAGACUCCUACGGGAGGCAGCAGUGGGGAAUCUUGCACAAUGGGCGAAAGCCUGAUGCAGCGACGCCGCGUGCGGGAUGAAGGCCUUCGGGUUGUAAACCGCUUUCAGCAGGGACGAGGCGAAAGUGACGGUACCUGCAGAAGAAGCCCCGGCUAACUACGUG